This 529-nucleotide ribosomal RNA is filed under the name uncultured bacterium. RNAcentral's name for it is "partial 16S ribosomal RNA". It matches the Rfam family "Bacterial small subunit ribosomal RNA", at positions 355 to 900 of the family's 1533-position model. The record is from RNAcentral.
UGGGGAAUAUUGCACAAUGGGCGAAAGCCUGAUGCAGCAACGCCGCGUGAGUGAUGAAGGUCUUCGGAUUGUAAAGCUCUGUCUUUUGGGACGAUAAUGACGGUACCAAAGGAGGAGGCCACGGCUAACUACGUGCCAGCAGCCGCGGUAAUACGUAGGUGGCGAGCGUUGUCCGGAUUUACUGGGCGUAAAGGGUGCGUAGGCGGAUGUUUAAGUGAGAUGUGAAAUACCCGGGCUUAACUUGGGUGCUGCAUUUCAAACUGGAUAUCUAGAGUGCAGGAGAGGAGAAUGGAAUUCCUAGUGUAGCGGUGAAAUGCGUAGAGAUUAGGAAGAACACCAGUGGCGAAGGCGAUUCUCUGGACUGUAACUGACGCUGAGGCACGAAAGCGUGGGUAGCAAACAGGAUUAGAUACCCUGGUAGUCCACGCCGUAAACGAUGAGUACUAGGUGUAGGAGGUAUCGACCCCUUCUGUGCCGCAGUAAACACAUUAAGUACUCCGCCUGGGAAGUACGAUCGCAAGAUUAAAAC